Triticum urartu is the source of this 1343-nucleotide non-coding RNA. The record is from RefSeq and is a predicted model, not a curated record. NCBI's taxonomy places the organism in Eukaryota, Viridiplantae, Streptophyta, Magnoliopsida, Poales, Poaceae.
UCCUUCUAGCAGCGCCAUAACAGCUUGGAAGAUACUUAAUAUUCAUGACAUCCAGAGCUUUCAAAGCAUGACUACACAAUAUACCAACUCUUUCAAAUUGGCCACAGCUACAUAGAACUUUUUGCUGUUCAUCAACUAUAACUUUGCAUUCUUCUUCAUAAGAGCAUUCCGGGUCAAGAUUGGCAAUUGCAACAGUAUAUGCAUUGUCUUCCUCCGAUGGCUUGAUGUACGCUGAGAUGGAUCUUUCGUAUUCAUUCUGAAAAUCUUCAAAUAUGCUAGGUGUGUAAACUUUGCUUGCUUGUAUUACUGUAGGAGUUCUUAUUCUAACUCUAGGUAAUUUUUUCCUCGACUCAUAUUCCUCAUUUACCUCUUUAUCUCUCUUUCCUUGCACAACCCUCUCUACGUGCUUGAAAAAACGAAGAAUGUCAAGAUCAGACUUCAAAUGGUCUUUCAAGUCACUAUUCAAGCUCUCACUUAAUUGUGUGCUUCUCAUGCCUAUAGUUGAAAGCUUCUUCAAAGUCUUCCUCUUCCUCGUACUUGUACAUGCAAGCACUGAAAUCAGCAAGUACAUUUGGGCCAUCCUCGUCUUUUUUCUUAUGAGGAGAAGGAAGGCAAAAGGGAGAUCAUCUACAUUAAUCUCCUGUCAAGUAUUGGAAAUCCCAAGUAUUUCAUGAGCAAAGCACCUAUGGUACAACUUGCAUGUAAAGAUCUAACUACAUUCAUGUAUUUUAUCUUGAGAUUAUUCAAAACAAUAGAGAUCACUUCUGUUAGCAAAGCACCUAUGGUACAACUUGCAUGAGAAGGAUGGUAAAAGUGAGUUCAAAAGGGAGAUCAUCCACACCACUUGCAGAUCAGCGGGAGAAGAACAAUCAAUAGAGAGAUAGGGCAAAAGGGAGAUCUUUAUGCCACAUAAACUUCCAGAUCAGCGUGAGGAGAACAGAGAUAGGGCAAAAGGGGAUCUCUAUGCCGCCCAUAGAUCAACAUAUACCUUGGUCAAAGGAGGAUGAUCAAGGAGGACUUGGGAAGACCGGCGGGACGAAGGCAUGGAGAUCGCUGUUUGGCGCCAACGUGCGUUCUGUUUGGCGCCAAGCAGCCGUAGGAGAUAUUUCACCGGACAAAUUGGGGUUUUUGUUUUCAUUUUCUAAAAGAAUUAAGUGGGGAAACUAGAGCGGUCAGAUUGGAAUUGACGGUUGAUGUGGAUAUCUACAGUACCCGUGCAGUAGUAGUUCGACUGCAGAGGAGCCGAACCCGCGCGCGCUGGGUCCUCCAGGAGAAAGCCAACGACGCGGGCUAUGUGUUCGGUGCCAGAUCUAUAUCUUGUGCACGCCUUUGUUGUUUUUUCU